UACGAAGGGGGCAAGCGUUGUUCGGAAUUAUUGGGCGUAAAGAGCUCGUAGGCGGUGUGUCACGUCGGCCGUGAAAACCUGGGGCUUAACUCUGGGCGUGCGGUCGAUACGGGCAUCACUAGAGUUCGGCAGGGGAGACUGGAAUUCCUGGUGUAGCGGUGAAAUGCGCAGAUAUCAGGAGGAACACCGGUGGCGAAGGCGGGUCUCUGGGCCGAUACUGACGCUGAGGAGCGAAAGCAUGGGUAGCGAACAGG
This 254-nucleotide ribosomal RNA is filed under the name uncultured bacterium. RNAcentral's name for it is "partial 16S ribosomal RNA". It matches the Rfam family "Bacterial small subunit ribosomal RNA", at positions 524 to 776 of the family's 1533-position model. The record is from RNAcentral.